GACGAACGCUGGCGGCGUGCUUAACACAUGCAAGUCGAACGCUGAAGCUCAGCUUGCUGGGUGGAUGAGUGGCGAACGGGUGAGUAACACGUGAGUAACCUGCCCUCUUCUUUGGGAUAACGCCCGGAAACGGGUGCUAAUACUGGAUAUUCACUGAUUCUCGCAUGGGGGUUGGUGGAAAGGUUUUUUCUGGUGGGGGAUGGGCUCGCGGCCUAUCAGCUUGUUGGUGGGGUGAUGGCCUACCAAGGCUUUGACGGGUAGCCGGCCUGAGAGGGUGACCGGUCACAUUGGGACUGGGAUACGGCCCAGACUCCUACGGGAGGCAGCAGUGGGGAAUAUUGCACAAUGGGCGAAAGCCUGAUGCAGCGACGCCGCGUGAGGGAUGGAGGCCUUCGGGUUGUAAACCUCUUUCGCUCAUGGUCAAGCCGCAGCGUUGGGUUGUGGUGAGGGUAGUGGGUAAAGAAGCGCCGGCUAACUACGUG
RNAcentral lists this ribosomal RNA (482 nucleotides) under uncultured bacterium. Its description in RNAcentral is "partial 16S ribosomal RNA". It matches the Rfam family "Bacterial small subunit ribosomal RNA", at positions 28 to 507 of the family's 1533-position model. The record is from RNAcentral.